GGAAACACGUUGAAGAGAAGAGUAGGGAUCAAUCCUUGUCUAGAGAGCUUGUAGCGGGUGGAAGCAAGCCUAGGAUCUCCUUGCAAAUGGUCUCAGAGUGGGCGCUUGGGUUAAACUAGCGCACGGGGGCACCCGUUACCAUGUCAGAGUCCUAACGGACUCACAGAGGCCUUGUCGGUGACGACAGGGUGAAUGAAGGUGGUACCACGAGUGACGCUCGUCCUUUUC
This 228-nucleotide non-coding RNA is filed under the name Abiotrophia defectiva. Its description in RNAcentral is "T-box sequence". It matches the Rfam family "T-box leader". From Rfam's summary of the family: Uncharged tRNA acts as the effector for transcription antitermination of genes in the T-box leader family. T-boxes are found upstream of many aminoacyl-tRNA synthetase genes and some amino acid biosynthetic genes usually in Gram-positive bacteria. Lineage: Bacteria; Bacillati; Bacillota; Bacilli; Lactobacillales; Aerococcaceae. The record is from RNAcentral.